RNAcentral lists this long non-coding RNA (377 nucleotides) under Equus asinus (donkey). Its description in RNAcentral is "lncRNA (ENSEASG00005024664.1)". The record is from RNAcentral. Lineage: Eukaryota; Metazoa; Chordata; Mammalia; Perissodactyla; Equidae.
CAGGACCUCAGAAUGUGACUGUAUUUGAAGAUAGAGCCUUCAAAGAGGUAACUGAGUGAAAAUAAGGUCAUUAGGAUGGGUCCUAAUCCAUGAUGACUGGUGUCCUUAUAAGAAGAAGAGAUUAAGACACAGAGAGGGAAGAUCAUGUGAGGACACAGAGGGAAGAUGGCCAUCCACGAGGCAGGAGAGAAGCCUUGGAAGAAACCAGUGCUGCCCACACCUUGAGCUUGAACUCCAGCCUCCAGAACUAUGCAAUCCAGAGAUAAAAGAGGAAUUCGCUUAAGGCAGAGUUGGGAAAAACCCAGAACUUCAGACUCAGUCUGGUGGUAUUCGCUCAACACUAUGCUUCUGCCCACAGAUGAAGAAAUGAAGGUUCA